UACGUAGGGUGCAAGCGUUUGUCCGGAAUUAUUGGGCGUAAAGAGCUCGUAGGCGGUUCGUCGCGUCGGCUGUGAAAACCUGAGGCUCAACCUCAGGCCUGCAGUCGAUACGGGCGGACUUGAGUACUGCAGGGGAGACUGGAAUUCCUGGUGUAGCGGUGAAAUGCGCAGAUAUCAGGAGGAACACCGGUGGCGAAGGCGGGUCUCUGGGCCGAUACUGACGCUGAGGAGCGAAAGCGUGGGGGAGCAAACAGG
RNAcentral lists this ribosomal RNA (255 nucleotides) under uncultured bacterium. RNAcentral's name for it is "partial 16S ribosomal RNA". It matches the Rfam family "Bacterial small subunit ribosomal RNA", at positions 524 to 776 of the family's 1533-position model. The record is from RNAcentral.